GACGAACGCUGGCGGCGUGCUUAACACAUGCAAGUCGAACGGAAAGGCCCUGCUUUUGUGGGGUGCUCGAGUGGCGAACGGGUGCGUAACACGUGAGUAACCUGCCCUUGACUUUGGGAUAACUUCAGGAAACUGGGGCUAAUACCGGAUCGGAGCUCCUGCUGCAUGGUGGGGGUUGGAAAGUUUCGGCGGUUGGGGAUGGACUCGCGGCUUAUCAGCUUGUUGGUGGGGUAGUGGCUUACCAAGGCUUUGACGGGUAGCCGGCCUGAGAGGGUGACCGGCCACAGUGGGACUGAGAUACGGCCCAGACUCCUACGGGAGGCAGCAGUGGGGAAUAUUGCACGAUGGGCGGAAGCCUGAUGCAGCAACGCCGCGUGCUGGAUGACGGCCUUCGUGUUGUAAACCGCUUUCGCCUGUGACGAAGCGUGAUUGACGGUAAUGGGUAAAGAAGCACCGGCUAACUACGUG
This 468-nucleotide ribosomal RNA is filed under the name uncultured bacterium. RNAcentral's name for it is "partial 16S ribosomal RNA". It matches the Rfam family "Bacterial small subunit ribosomal RNA", at positions 28 to 507 of the family's 1533-position model. The record is from RNAcentral.